GGGGGUAUAGCUCAGUCGGGAGAGCACCUGCUUUGCACGCAGGGGGUCAGCGGUUCGAGCCCGCUUACCUCCACCA
RNAcentral lists this transfer RNA (76 nucleotides) under Deltaproteobacteria bacterium. Its description in RNAcentral is "tRNA-Ala". It matches the Rfam family "tRNA". Rfam says of the family: Transfer RNA (tRNA) molecules are approximately 80 nucleotides in length. Their secondary structure includes four short double-helical elements and three loops (D, anti-codon, and T loops). Lineage: Bacteria; Pseudomonadati; Myxococcota; Myxococcia. The record is from RNAcentral. RNAcentral also lists the same sequence under 1 other name.